GAACGCUGGCGGCGUGCUUAACACAUGCAAGUCGAACGGUAAGGCCCCUUCGGGGGUACACGAGUGGCGAACGGGUGAGUAACACGUGGGUGACCUGCCCUGUACUUCGGGAUAAGCCUGGGAAACUGGGUCUAAUACCGGAUAUGACCUUCCCCUGCAUGGGGGUUGGUGGAAAGCUUUUGCGGUACAGGAUGGGCCCGCGGCCUAUCAGCUUGUUGGUGGGGUAAUGGCCUACCAAGGCGACGACGGGUAGCCGGCCUGAGAGGGCGACCGGCCACACUGGGACUGAGACACGGCCCAGACUCCUACGGGAGGCAGCAGUGGGGAAUAUUGCACAAUGGGCGAAAGCCUGAUGCAGCGACGCCGCGUGAGGGAUGACGGCCUUCGGGUUGUAAACCUCUUUCAGUAGGGACGAAGCGCAAGUGACGGUACCUACAGAAGAAGCACCGGCCAACUACGUGCCAGCAGCCGCGGUAAUACGUAGGGUGCGAGCGUUGUCCGGAUUUACUGGGCGUAAAGAGCUCGUAGGC
Molecule: ribosomal RNA, 530 nt
Filed under: Tsukamurella pulmonis
Lineage: Bacteria; Bacillati; Actinomycetota; Actinomycetes; Mycobacteriales; Tsukamurellaceae
Description: bacterial SSU rRNA
Rfam family: Bacterial small subunit ribosomal RNA
Source: RNAcentral